RNAcentral lists this ribosomal RNA (316 nucleotides) under Bacillus siamensis. RNAcentral's name for it is "bacterial SSU rRNA". It matches the Rfam family "Bacterial small subunit ribosomal RNA", at positions 658 to 972 of the family's 1533-position model. The record is from RNAcentral. Lineage: Bacteria; Bacillati; Bacillota; Bacilli; Caryophanales; Bacillaceae.
AGAGUGGAAUUCCACGUGUAGCGGUGAAAUGCGUAGAGAUGUGGAGGAACACCAGUGGCGAAGGCGACUCUCUGGUCUGUAACUGACGCUGAGGAGCGAAAGCGUGGGGAGCGAACAGGAUUAGAGACCCUGGUAGUCCACGCCGUAAACGAUGAGUGCUAAGUGUUAGGGGGUUUCCGCCCCUUAGUGCUGCAGCUAACGCAUUAAGCACUCCGCCUGGGGAGUACGGUCGCAAGACUGAAACUCAAAGGAAUUGACGGGGGCCCGCACAAGCGGUGGAGCAUGUGGUUUAAUUCGAAGCAACGCGAAGAACCUU